Molecule: long non-coding RNA, 1657 nt
Organism: Parus major (Great Tit)
Lineage: Eukaryota; Metazoa; Chordata; Aves; Passeriformes; Paridae
Source: Ensembl
GGGGGAGUGAGUGGCUGUGUGGUACUCAGUUGCCAGCAGGCAUUAAACCUUAACUGGUAUAAAGAUGAAGAAUGAUGAUAUAAUAGCUCCAGUUGUCUUCUCUCCUAUAUAACCUAAUGAUUAUCACUAGUGUUGGGAAAUGAAUUUUCAGAAUUUAUGAUUCUCCAGGAAAAGAGGUAAGAGGGAAACAGGAAUUGGGGCAUGCAGAUAAUAACAGAAAUAACUUCAACAGAGAUAUUCUUUCUCACCUUGUGUCUGAUCUAAUUAUGACAUGAUUGUCCGCUGUUCUCUGGUAUUUUACUGUAUGGGCAAAUGAGCCCAUUUCUGAGAUUUUACAGAUCACAGAUGAGAAAACAUAGGUUAGCCUGAGCUUUCUUCUCAGUCUUGCUGUCUCCAAUGUUUCCUGCACCAGAUGCUCCCUUUAUUACCAAACUAUUCCUGCUGGGUGUUUGUUGAGGGGUGCUCACAUGCAAAGAGGCAGGGGUCUCUGUUCUCACCUACUUCUGCUUGACAGAUUCUUGAACAACAAACCGAAUGAGUUAUUGAGAAACAAGGUGACGUGCAAGCAAAGUGACCAGAAAAAGAGCAUUUUAUCUUCCUCUAAGUAUGACUUCAACAUUCUCGUUUUGGAAGUCUAAUUUAAAAAUAAUUCAGUGCUUCACUGCUUAAUUCUCUUGUGCUGUUGAUGUGGGAGACUUCAGAGUGACAACGAAAAUAAGCACCUGACAGAAGAAGAGCAGUGAAUGUCUCUUAAUCUUAAAGCUUUUUGAGAAACUGCAGCGGUAAUCAACAGUACUCAUCAGUAAUUUCCAACUGCAUGUUCAUCUAUGUGAAGGAAAACCAGUCUGAGUCAAGAAGAAAGAGUUUCCCUUUAUUUGCUGUGCUAAAAUAAAGCUCUGCUAAGGGAACAUGAAGGCUGCAAAGGCACGCUUUCAGUAGAGGGAGGAGAUUCCAGGAUUAACACGAGUCACCAAUGGACACAUACUGAUGGUGCUGGGACAACCAAGAAGUUGCACUUCAUCUUGGCUAGAAGCAAGCUGGGAGCCUUGCAGUCACAAUCCAAGGCAUUUGUGCCCUGGUGGUCCUGCCUGUUUUCAGGCACCCCAGAUGUGAUCCUAGGCCAGAGAAGUGAGGAGCAUCUCUCAGCAGUCGAAGCAGGCUCUGCAGCUGAUCCACUGCACAUGGAGCUGUGGCCAGUGCAAAUUCAGAGUACAGAGCCUUUCUUGAGUGUGUAUUUUAAAUGUGUGGAGAGGAAAAAGCUACCUAGGAGCAAAUCUGCUGCAUUACUUAUGAACAGGACAAUGGGGCCCCAGUGAGUCACCCUAUUCAUAUAUUUUUGGAACCCAGAGGAAUUGGGUUCUAUUGGGGACUAUUUACAGAUUAUAACAGUUGGUAGUUGAAUGUUUUAUUUUCAUUCCCAGUUGGUACAAUAUGUUCACAGCUGAUGCUAAUGGCUUGCCCAUUUGAUAUCACAUAUGGUCCACUAUUUGGGUCUCCUAAAGCUUUCUUUUGUGGUCAAGCUGCUUUAAAACUUGUGUAUGCUUAGGUUUGUUCUGUCUGCUGGAAAGGUGAAUGUGAAACUGAAACCGGGCAGCGUUGGAUAACUCAGCAGUUCUGUUGAUAAAGAUUAAAAGAAUUUUGAAUGUCUGAAUGUCCC